This is a long non-coding RNA of Papaver somniferum (opium poppy), 7453 nucleotides long. RefSeq lists it as uncharacterized. The record is from RefSeq and is a predicted model, not a curated record. NCBI's taxonomy places the organism in Eukaryota, Viridiplantae, Streptophyta, Magnoliopsida, Ranunculales, Papaveraceae. The transcript has 2 exons.
UGGGUGAACCGGAGACACAUGCAAAGAGAACUUCGACAAAAUUGGAAGCAAAGAUACUUCGGCGAAGAACAAAUCUGAAACAGGACAAAUCUUAUUCUCAUUUAUCUCUUAUUUUGUUUGUUAACACUUCAAUUUGAAAGUUUUAAGUACAAAUUCUUCAAAAGGUGUUUAUGGAAAACUAGGGUUAGUUCUUAAGAAAAAAUUGAAUUUUCUUUCAAAAGUUUUACUCGAUUUCUGUUUCGAUGGGAGAUUUGCUAUCAGCAGAUCUUGUUUUGCAAACCCAUUUAAGCUAUUUUGAAAACGUUGAGUGACGAAAUCCUUAGCUAAUUUGGGGAUUUAUGUGUUUGUUUCACCUAGGGAUUUUUCUAUCUUGAAUGAUAUGAUUACUCUUCUUGACUAUUAACUUGAUUGAUCUGUUGUUGCAGUGAUGAUUCGAAUGGCGUAUGUUAACGCAGCUGAUUCUCGCAGCAACAACGUAGGUUCAAUCCCUAAUCUUCACUGUCGGGAGUUACAGGAAGAUGAAAUUUAUGAAACCAUCAUCAAGUUAGUCGGAUCUCACCAACUCAAUUUCGAAGGAAAUCGUCAUGGGACAAACUGCCACAGCUGGAACAAGCUUUGAUUAAUUUGUUCCAGUGUCGCAAUCUUGCCAGUACAUUAGACUCGCCUGCUAGCUCUUACAGUAUGGAGCUUGUGUUUUGACUCUGCCAUCCUCUCAUCAAUUUGCACCUCGAAGGACCAUCACAGACUUCUCCAAUAUCGGCCUCUUAACAUCGUACAAUAUCACCUCGGAUGGGAAUUACAGCAACUCAGCUUCGUGGAAUUCCAUAUUGGGGCGAGUCAGUUAACUUACUCGGAUCAAAACCAUCUCGUGCCAAGUCAAAUCGGGACAGAUAUCGGGCGACUGAUCGAGGCUAACUACAUCGGCCAGAUACCAGGCAACAGAUCGAGGCUAACUACAUCGGCCAAUCCCAUGCAACUCACUCGGGUCAGUUCAUUUUAUAUCGGGAAAGAUGAACCAUAUCGGACAAGGCAGUUACUUCAGAUUAACUCGGGCCGAUCAACUCGAUAAGAUUACAAUUGUCUCGCUUUAAGAACUCAGCUCGGGAAGGUUGAAUCAGAUCGUUCUAGAAUAAGCACACCUCUAUCCGGACAUUCAUCUAUAACAGGGAACAUUCUUAACUCCUGAAUCCUCAUUUUGCGAGUUAUUUUGAUGAGUGCUAUCUAAAAUCUCCCUCAUACAAGCCUGGUAAAAGAGUGAUUGGAUUAGUCAAAUACAACUCACCUAGGAAAACACGAGUAGUUCUUGUUUUAGAAAUUUGAGAACAUAGACCCUUGACGUUUGGCAUACAAAUGUGAAUUGCUUCCGCAACUUGUAGCUAUGAAUUACAGAUUGUCAAUCCUGACUUAAUAUCUCGUCGUCGUAAAUUGAUGCCUUGCUAUAUAGAUUAUCACCAUGAAUUCAAAAGAGACCAUACAGAAGAGACCAUCCGAUAUUUAUUCACUAUGAAUUCGAGCCUUCCAUUUGAGUAAUUUCAUUACCACUCAAUCGAGCCCAAAACUGCAUUUAACUUCUUAGUGACACAUCAAUCUGAUUACUUGAAUGAUCACCUUAACCAUUUAGAUUGUCACCAUGCUUAAUUCUUAAAUGUAAUGUCAGUCUACUUGAACGUGCCGUUUAUCUUGUUCUUGAUAAUCCUGUGUUGUUAAAGUGAUAUCUUAGCCAGAAUAUCUACAACAGUGACAUUUGCAAGGGGUCAUUUAAUUUUUACAACCAUUACUCAUCUGAAUUGAAAGUCGCAGGUGCAUAAACCCAAUCCCGAGUAUCAGUUGAGGAGCAAAAUGAUUUCGCAUGGAUGAGCUUUGGGAGAUGACGAAGACGCCAAAGAGUAAGAAGCUUUGCUCAUAGAGUCGAAAUGGUCCUCUUCGACCAAACCACCACACAUCCCCCAGUACGCAGCUGAUACUUAUGCCUACCUACCAGGAAGGAAAGCUAAGUACCAUCGAUCUCAAACACUUGGCUCAUUACAAUUCGCAUAACAUCUGAAUUCAUCUGCCACGACAGUUUAAACUUUUAAAUGCUAGUGAAUAGUCCAAUUUGGAUCUUUUCACCGAUUAACAAAACCCGCUUUCCUUAAGUUACUAAGUAAUAUUUUGGCCUGAUUUUGGAGGAGACAGAUCAUGUCAUCUGCUGCACAUUUGUAGUUUGGAUGCUGAAUAUGCAAUUUGGCUUAAGUUUAGCUUGGGUGCUCACUUACUUGACUUGUUGUUGCAGAAAAAGGUCGAAGAGAGAGUGAAAUUUAUUUAAUUAUGUAUAGAACUUCCAGCAAAACCAGCUUGAAAAGACGCCCUUAUGAUCGAUCACUUUGAAUCAUCCGUCUCGGACCAAAAUCACCUCUAGCCUCCACCAGACAGUCUUUUGCUCUGGUCUCAUCAUCUUCUGGCCACUACCCAUCACCAGGAGAAGAACUGAAUAGACGAUCAACUCUAACUGACAUAUCCUUCUCGUAUCAGAUCACCUUGAGUCACCAUCUCAGAUGUGAUAAUUUUGCCCAACACAACGGACUGGACGACUCAACUUUGAAGUUGUAAAUGGAGAACCUGGUAGAAUCAUGCAAGUGAAGGUGCAAAACUCUAGCAUAAUAACGUGUCGUGGCAACGACGAUUACUCCUCAGAUAUAGGAGCAAGGAUCAUAGCUGUCAUUUGAUGUUAAAAUAUGUCACUUAUCAAAGCACAGGCCAUGUCACCAGUUAUUGGAAGUCUAAUCUAAUGAGAUUAUCUUGGAAGAAUCCUGCUAUGAACAAUCACCUCGGAUCAUCCAUCUGGGAGUCUGCUCAUGAAACAUCAUUGCUCGUCUAAGGAAGCUAUCUUGGAACAAAUAGUUCAGGUCAAUCAACUCGGAAAGCAAGGAAGUAGUAUCUCAAGCUGCAACUACUCGCGCUAGAUCACAUCGGGGCACAUACAAACCACUCGGAUUCCAGCCAGUAACGUCUGUAACCAGCAUAUAUCGGGCAUUCAUCAUCUUCGGGCGAUAAGCGAGAACAAUUCGCCUAACUAACACAUCCCAGCACACAAAAGCUCGCAGAAGUUUGAAAGGACAACAAGAAGACUCUAAUCACGUGGAGAAUCUGCACAAUGGAGGCACGACCAAAUUAGACAGUCCGCUUAAGUCUGCCAAGUUCAUUAGGAUAUGUCAGUCGGACUAUGAACAACAAUCAGUCAUCUCGGGACAAAGCAAUAUACUAAGCUGUUGCGCCUACUCGUGCCAACUCGUAUCGGGGCAUAUCCAAUCCAUUUCGGGUCCUAGCAGUGAACACUUCCUCGCAGCGAAUGAUCAUCGGGAUAUAACACCCGAUCAAAAUGAUGAUGGUCAACAGACUCGAUUGAAACAACCGCUUCGAAAAAUUUCGUCACAGCAGUCAACCCAGCUUCAUCGAGAUAUAUCAAUCAGUCGGACCUUUGAGGUUAAUCGGGCGAGAUACGACGGCAACAUGAUGAUGAGCAUUGAUAUUGGAAUGGUCGUGAACCGAAAUAGCAGCAAUCACUUCUCUUCCUAAUUAGUCUACAAGUGUGGGAGAUUCGGGGAUACCUGGAGCAAUGUGUGACUGAGAUAUUCCUCUAGCGUGUGACGCAGAACGGACAAGGAGCGAAUGCUGUUCCGAAGAUAAUCACUUGAACCACAAGGCUGUGCCAACUACGUUCAGUACUCAGCUAUUUCGGACCAGAAACGCCAGAGACCAGUUUAUACAAGGCAUUCGUCUAUCUCAGAACCAACUCAUGACUACUUCCUCUCCGUUUCGAUAAAUUGGGAGCAAGGCAGCUCGGGCCAACAACAACCAUUCGAGCAUACCUUUCAUCGGAUGAAUUUCCAGCUUGGAAUCGAUUACCUCGCAGCAACAGCCGACUAUGUGAAGAUAUCAACUUCGGGAAAGAACACGAAUGUUUGCCUAUCGAAACCUUUGUAUGUGACCACACCAAGCCUGACUACCAGUGAGACGAUAUCUCACCUUGCCGACAACAAUCUACUACGGAUGCAAUGUAGGACUCUGUCUAUCCUAACACAAAGCGUCUAGUCAGGGCGGAACUUGAAACAAACAAAUCGAGACAAACGGUAGAAUGAAGGCAUUCUUUGGGAGACAACUGAUAACUCCAAGAUCAAGGAAAGAACUCAUAAAUCGUGGCAACAAAACGGGACCGAAAUUGAAUAUCUGUGGAGCAUAGUGUACUGCAUGAAACGCACGGCGAUAAGGCGAUGGUAUGAUAAACGCAGCGAUAUACCAUUCGUAUUUGGGUCAUCAAACGGAAUGGCCCGAGAUGGUCUAAGACUUCUGACUCCAACUUAGACUACACAGGCUUUGGAAAAUAAUAACCUGGGGAACGCCUUGGGUUGUUAGCGUACUGUAACACACAGGUCAUUCGUACUCGGUUCAUCAAACGAAAUGAUCCGAGGUGAUUUAAGAGCCCUGGACGAGCCAGGAGCUAACUUGUCAUUUAUUUCUUUAAAACCGCGAGGGUAGGAAAUAAGACAUGAGCGACAAAUGGUCAUUCGUACUCGGGGCAACGCCAAUGUGGAAGUGCCGAGGUGACUUACACUCGAAUGGUCAUUCGUACUCGGGGCAACGCCAGUGUGGAAGUGCCGAGGUGGCUUACAGUCGACUGGCUAUUCGAUACUCGGGGCAGUGGCAGUGUGGAAGUGCCGAGAUAGCCUAAGGGUUCUGGUGGUUGGUGAAGCCAGUUACCAAAGACUGUUAAGAUACGAUUUCUUCUCAGCCAGGAAAAUAUGUAUGCUAAAACUACGAGCGGUUAUACAUGAAAGGGGAAACACAAUCGGGACGACGGAUCUGUCGGGUUAUCAGUGUGGGAGACUUGAAUAACAUAAGUACAUCGUAUUUGUAAGAAAACAAUAACAAAGGCGGCUUCUAAUCGGUCAUCAACAGGCUAACACAAACUGAGCUAAAUAUCACAUGAAGGCUAAAUGGUGUGCACGGAAGCUACAUGAUGGACAAAAUCAAAAUCAAACGCAAAAGCAACCAGCACCAAUCGGCCCACAACAGGAAUGGUCGAUGGAAACCAAAGCUAUGUCAGGGUAACACGAACAGAGGAGACUACAUACAGGGACACGUAAGAUAAGAAGAGUAAUUGUCUUAGUUGAGAAUCGUGAACAGCAAAAGUUACGGACCGAGAUCACCAACCAAAUGAACGUUGCAGUGAGACGAAGGAUGUAAUGAGAUCACGGAGUCUCCCGAGUUUGUGAAUCAAGCAAGAAGUUGCAGCAACAAACCAUACCGUGUCGGCAUCACUGGCAGCAAACAAGAUCACAAGUAACUAUAUAGUCCGGUUAUGAGGCGAGUAAUGUACGAGUAGAUCCUACAUAUGGCUUUUUCACACCGUUGCAGAGUAAAGUGGAACAAUGCGCCAGAGCAUCUGGACUUGUCAGGUCGAAAUAAGGAACUUAUGGACUUCAUUGUUAACAGCAAAACCAAAGUCUAUCACCGAAACAUGAGCUAAGUAUCGCUUAUCUCCAAGGCCGCAGCCCUCGGGCAUUGCAGGAGCGUAAGUAUUUUGUGCACAUAUCUGGAUGCACAUCUUUGGGCGAGAAAAAGACAUGGAAACUAAGGAAGAGAGCUAGUUUGGGCACAGGGGCAAAAUUGUUGUCUCGAGACUCCGCAAACGAAUAGGGGCAAGUACGCGUACUAGGAUGAAGCAGAUUGUAUUCCUUUGCGCAGUCCUUUCAACAACAAUCAUAUAACUACUAGACUGACGCAAGAAAAACGCUUUGGAGUGGCACGAGAACACCUACUAGGAUGAAGCAGAUUGUAUUCCUUUGCGCAGUCCCUUCAACAACAAUCAUAUAACUCCAAGACUGACGCAAGAAAAAUGCUUUGGUGUGGCACGAGAACACCCUCAUCGUUUGAAGCAAGCCGAGGAUGCUAAGACUGUCGGACGACUAGCAGGAAACCUAAGUACCAUCUACCAUGAGAAAUUGUCUUAUCGUGUAUUUCACUUGUUGAUUCAUUCACAAAACCAUAGCAACCACACUAAACAGACGUCCGACAUCGAUGGUUACCAAGGGAGAUGGAUAACUCGGGGCAAAUGUAGUAAUCCACAAUUGUUAGCGGAGACCAGCCAGUACGAUCCUACGGUAGCGGAAUUACAAGGAAUAUCACGGCACGACAACAACAGUCAGCAAUCUUUGAACCAAGAAUUGCUUUGAAACUUCGCACAAGAAUAUGGGCAAGUAUGCAUACUGCAGACGCAGUUUAUAUUCUUCUGCUCAGUUCCUUUAGCAACAAUGAAAAACUUACUACAAAGUACAUCUGAUGCACCAUUCAGCCAACGUUAUCAACUUACCCAAACAAAAAGCAUUCUCCACCGGACUCGUAUCAGAAAAGGAAGCCCGAUAAAACCAAAAAGAGCAGCUAAACAACAGAAUAUCCCAACAAGAAUGCAACAUUCAAGCGAUAGUCAGCAGCACCGAGAGAGCUUAUCACCAAAGUUAGACACAGUUGAAUUAUGAACCAUCCGUAUUCAACUGUUUCGAAUUCAACCCAUUAAGACACUCCAGACACCAACACCAUCUUGAGCAAGUGUUAAAACAGUUGUCACAAAGAGAACUGCUACCAUCCAAGAAUUUGAACUCCAGAUGCAAGCUUAAGCCGAGCCAGAAGUACACCCAAGAAUUUCAGAUCACAAAGAGGAUAAUUCCUACAAGACGAGACUUCACUCCGAGCCGAUUAUCUAUAACAACACGAUUUGAACUCGUCCACAAUAUCGAGAAAAUCCAGAGCCGAUUAAAAAGGAAGUAAGCACGCGACGUCGAGUACAUUCGAAACAUACGAGCCAAUCGGGAAGCACAACAAGAUAGGAACCAAGGACAAUGAUAUGCCUAGUCGGGAGGCAUUCUACUCAGAAGCCCAGAUCCAGACAGCUCGUAGCCCAACAGAAAGCCCAAGUUGCCAUAAUUUGAGAGUCGGGUAACAAUCAGUUUGACUUUGAAUAACGCACAGAUAAUCAUCAUCAAUCCAAGACCCGGAAUGAAGGUACCGAAUGCAAGACAUCAACAACAACGCGUAAUAUUUUCUUAAGGAUUUGCUCUUCGAACUAACCUCAUGAAAAGGGGCAUAAAUGUAGGAGAAGAAAAUAUACAAGGACACGUGUCGAGAGAUCUAGGAAGAAGUAGCUUAAUUAGAUACAAUUGUUUGUAGGAAAUAAGACCUUGCUAUCUCUUAUCCUAACUAGUCUGUCCUAAAGGCAUUAUUGUAACUCGUGUACAUCCCCACCCCUUUAUAAGGGAAAGAGAGAUAUGUUUGAAGGGACCGAUCUCCCUCCCCCACAACCUAGAGCUUAACAAGAACUCCAAUCCCUUUUAAUGGAGUUUGUAUGUAACACCGAUUUGGUAACACCAUCGAUCAUAGUGAAACACCUUGGACGUAGGCUUCAUUAAUGGCCGAACCA